Molecule: unclassified non-coding RNA, 418 nt
Filed under: Hevea brasiliensis (rubber tree)
Lineage: Eukaryota; Viridiplantae; Streptophyta; Magnoliopsida; Malpighiales; Euphorbiaceae
Source: RNAcentral
CUAAGGGGCCCAAGUGUAAAAAGGAAGUGGAGAGAUUGGAGGGGUGGAUUAGGUACUAUUUACAGGAUGGUGGUGGAGAAGAGAAGAGGGAGCCAUUGAGGUUGGCUUUUUUGCUGUUGGGAAAGGCUAAUUUUGAGUCGGAAAAUGAAGAUGGUGCUAGUUUUGGUGGCUUGGACAUCGAGUUCCCUUCAGCAAUUGAGGAGUUUCUGAAGUAUGAUCCACCAAGAGAAUCAAAUUGAGGCAUCACAUUCUUGUGUGGUUUAUUUCUGUAAUUUAUGUUGCCCCAUGGGCCUAGGCAAUUUUAGAUUAUGAGAAAAAUAUGUUGAAUCUGAUUGUGGAAAUUUUCACAUAAAAGAGUCCUGAGAAUUUUCUCUUCCCUGAUUGUUGUUCCCUUCGCUUCCAUAUAUACUUGUAGAUG